This 497-nucleotide ribosomal RNA is filed under the name uncultured bacterium. Its description in RNAcentral is "partial 16S ribosomal RNA". It matches the Rfam family "Bacterial small subunit ribosomal RNA", at positions 28 to 507 of the family's 1533-position model. The record is from RNAcentral.
GAUGAACGCUGGCGGCGUGCCUAAUACAUGCAAGUCGAGCGAACAGAUGAGGAGCUUGCUCCUCUGACGUUAGCGGCGGACGGGUGAGUAACACGUGGAUAACCUACCUAUAAGACUGGGAUAACUUCGGGAAACCGGAGCUAAUACCGGAUAAUAUAUUGAACCGCAUGGUUCAAUAGUGAAAGACGGUUUUGCUGUCACUUAUAGAUGGAUCCGCGCCGCAUUAGCUAGUUGGUAAGGUAACGGCUUACCAAGGCAACGAUGCGUAGCCGACCUGAGAGGGUGAUCGGCCACACUGGAACUGGGACACGGUCCAGACUCCUACGGGAGGCAGCAGUAGGGAAUCGUCCGCAAUGGGCGAAAGCCUGACGGAGCAACGCCGCGUGAGUGAUGAAGGUCUUCGGAUCGUAAAACUCUGUUAUUAGGGAAGAACAAAUGUGUAAGUAACUAUGCACGUCUUGACGGUACCUAAUCAGAAAGCCACGGCUAACUACGUG